Molecule: small RNA, 725 nt
Filed under: Pongo abelii (Sumatran orangutan)
Lineage: Eukaryota; Metazoa; Chordata; Mammalia; Primates; Hominidae
Description: retained intron
Source: RNAcentral
GGCUGCGCGGGGCUGAGGCGGCCUCGAUUUGGGAACUGCCUGAAGAUGCCAGCCUAAGCCUGGAUCCCAGGCAUGGACUUCCCCACAAUUUCCCGAUCCCCUUCGAGGCCUCCAGCCAUGGACUUGGAGGGGCCCAGGGACAUUCUUGUGCCCUCCGAGGACCUCACCCCUGACAGCCAGUGGGACCCUGUGCCAGGAGGCCCCGGCAGCCUCAGUCGGAUGGAACUUGAUGAGUCAAGCAUUCAGGAGCUGGUGCAGCAGUUUGAAGCUCUGCCGGGCGAUCUGGUGGACCCAUCCCCAGAUGGAGCCCCCUGUCCCCUACACAUUGCCACAGGCCACGGCCUGGCCUCCCAGGAAAUUGCUGAUGCCCACGGGCUCCUGUCUGCCGAAGCUGGCCGGGAUGACCUGCUGGGCCUCUUGCACUGUGAGGAAUGCCCGCCUUCCCAGACUGGUCCUGAAGAGCCUCUAGAGCCUGCCCCCCGACUGUUGCAGCCCCCUGAGGACCCAGAUGAGGAUUCUGACUCCCCAGAAUGGGCGGAGGGGGCCUCUGCUGAGCAGGAGGGCAGCAGGAGCUCAAGCAGUUCCCCGGAACCCUGGCUGGAGACAGUGCCUCUAGUCACACCUGAAGAGCCACCCGCUGGUGCCCAGGUAGUGCCCGCCCCGCCCUCCAGGUGUCCUGGACUGCCUGGAACCAAGCAGGGGGACUCAGUCGUGCCCCUCCUCUA